GAUGACCUUGUAGAAAUUUCCAUGAUAAAUUUUCUUGAUGUUCAGGAUUCAGACUGCUACUCUAGGAAUUUGGUCUAAUGGUUUUCAAAUGCCGACUUUCAAAAUUAUGUUCAAGUUAUUAAAUUUAUAAAAGGUUAUUGUCAAUCGUUUGAGUUAAAUUUUUAUAAAUUAUUAAACAGCUAUUGUCCAUCUUGCCUGGAGAGGCGAGCUUUGACGGAAUGGUAAGAUUGUUCCAUUGUGAUCUAGAGGUCAUAGGUUUGAAAUACGGAAUAGUCUCUCCACAUGUGGGGGUAGGGCUACAUAUAUCUUACCCUCCCCAGACCAUGCGAUGGCGGGAGCCUCAUGCACCGAGCUGCUCUUUUUUUUAUUGCCUAUCUUGCAAAGAAGGUGAUUCUUGCUUUGGUGGUUCGUUAAUUUAAUCAAUUUUUUUUUUCCCAAUAGGUAUGUGAUCCUGCUGUCAGUGUAUUUAAGGGUUACACUUUGCAUAAAGAAACAGAGGAAUAUCUUGCUUCUCGCGGGCUUAAAAAUGCUUUGUACUCCAUUGAUGCAGAUGAUGUAAAAGAAGAUUUGUUUAGCAAUCUUGUGCCUUGUUGUUUCCAGAAGAACAUGCCUAUUUCAAAGGAAUACGGUGAUCGGAGAGCGUAUGUUUAAUGGAGCCCAUAAUGGCAUGGAAUUGUGCUCUUUCCUCUUUUUUGCACGGAUGUAGUUGGAUCUAGUUCUUUCUCGACCGAAUCCUCAGAGCAACAUCUCAAUCUAGGGGAUCCUGUUGUGGCACAACCAAUAUCUUGCAAACCUGUAAGUUAUGUUAUUCCAAUGUUUGCAUCUUGUGAAAUUGUGGUCCUUGUGCUCGAGAAAUUCUGCCAAUAUCUGUUCAGGUCAUUCUUGAGCGAUGUGUAUGAAGAUGUGCCUUUGGUUGACAUUGGUUUUGCCAAAUGGUUUCAUGUUAAUAAUGAACAUGCUUAUAUUGCAAUUUGUUACUAAUGAUAAUAGGGUGCAGUAUCUUUAUUCUAGUUUGCUUAUUUAAAUUCAAUGUUUUAGGUUGAUGAACAUAUUAGUUCUAUCUACUCGACAGUAUGUACAAAUAUUGUA
Molecule: non-coding RNA, 1089 nt
Organism: Phoenix dactylifera (date palm)
Lineage: Eukaryota; Viridiplantae; Streptophyta; Magnoliopsida; Arecales; Arecaceae
Source: RefSeq, a predicted model, not a curated record